CCGAGUUUACAGCUCCCAAACCCCAUGUGAACCGUACCCAUAGCUGUUGCCUCGGCGGGUCACGCCCCGGGUGCGUAAAGCCCGGAACAGGCGCCAGCCGGAGGACCAACCAAACUCUUUCUGUAGUCCCUCGCGGACGUAUUUCUUACAGCUCUGAGCAAAAUUCAAAAUGAAUCA
RNAcentral lists this unclassified non-coding RNA (177 nucleotides) under soil metagenome. RNAcentral describes it as "partial internal transcribed spacer 1". The record is from RNAcentral.